This 460-nucleotide ribosomal RNA is filed under the name uncultured bacterium. RNAcentral describes it as "partial 16S ribosomal RNA". It matches the Rfam family "Bacterial small subunit ribosomal RNA", at positions 338 to 795 of the family's 1533-position model. The record is from RNAcentral.
CCUACGGGAGGCUGCAGUGAGGAAUAUUGGUCAAUGGGCGCUAGCCUGAACCAGCCAAGUAGCGUGAAGGAUGACUGCCCUAUGGGUUGUAAACUUCUUUUAUAUGGGAAUAAAGUGCAGUAUGUAUACUGCUUUGCAUGUACCUUAUGAAUAAGGAUCGGCUAACUCCGUGCCAGCAGCCGCGGUAAUACGGAGGAUUCGAGCGUUAUCCGGAUUUAUUGGGUUUAAAGGGAGCGUAGGCGGGUUGUUAAGUCAGUUGUGAAAGUUUGCGGCUCAACCGUAAAAUUGCAGUUGAUACUGGCAGCCUUGAGUACAGUAGAGGUAGGCGGAAUUCGUGGUGUAGCGGUGAAAUGCUUAGAUAUCACGAAGAACUCCGAUUGCGAAGGCAGCCUGCUGGACUGUAACUGACGCUGAUGCUCGAAAGUGUGGGUAUCAAACAGGAUUAGAUACCCUAGUAGUC